Non-coding RNA from Phalacrocorax carbo (great cormorant), 836 nucleotides. NCBI's taxonomy places the organism in Eukaryota, Metazoa, Chordata, Aves, Suliformes, Phalacrocoracidae. The record is from RefSeq and is a predicted model, not a curated record.
CCGUUCAGCCGCUCCCGGAGGGCGCGCGGCUCUGCCCGGCCGUGACCGGGGCCCGCAGGGGUCUCUCGCUCGCCCGCUCGCCCCGAAAGGAGCCGGCCCCGAGCCGGCGCGUCCCGCCCCGCCCGGCCCUCGGCGCCCUCGCGAGCUGAGCGCGGCCCGGCCAGCAGGGGGCGCUGGCGCUCACCGGCUGGGCGCGGGGGCGGUCCGGCGCGGGGGCGGGGCCGGUGGGGGCCGGUCCUUCCGGCCGCCCUCUAAGGGCCGCCCCGCGGGGCCCGGGCUUCCGGUGGCGCGUGCGCGGCGGAGCGGAGGUGGGAGAGGUGCGUGGGGCGGCCGGGUCGCGAGGGGUCUCUUUGCGGUGCCGGGGCCCCUCUCCGGCCCGGCGUGGGAAGCCCGUGGCCGGCGGAGACUGCUCGGAGCUGGGCGGGGAGCGCCGCGGCAGUCCGGCCGCAGGCAGCCAUCCCCUGCGGUGGCCGGCAUCCCCUCGGGACUCCUGGAGGCCUGGCGGCUCCCGAUCCUCGUCUGCGGCAGCCGCCUGAGAGAGCAGCGCGGCCGUAGCCGGGGGCCGGAGAGCGCUGGUGCAGAUGGAUGAGUCGUGCAGGGCAACGGAGGAGAGCCCAGGGGAGCGCUGUAAGAAGAGGCAAUGAACGGUGCUGCUGGGGCUGCGAGGGGGAAAGGUGCAGAGGAAUAGAAGCUCUGUGGAUGCAGCCAAGUUACGGUUUCUGGAUGGUAUUAAUCGAGAAGAGUAAUUCAGAUAAUGCUGCUGCCCAGCGACCAGAGUUGGGUACUGAGCCCGGGAGCUGCGCACGCGCGGUGGCGUCCCUGUGAUCCGCAUUGCU